Molecule: long non-coding RNA, 541 nt
Organism: Gallus gallus (chicken)
Lineage: Eukaryota; Metazoa; Chordata; Aves; Galliformes; Phasianidae
Source: Ensembl
AAAAAUUUUCCACGUCCUCCAGUUGAAGUCCCUUCUACUUUUUCAUGAAGUCAGGUGCAUCUGGAGAAGUGCUUUUCUCCUGCUGCUAUGCAGAUCAGCCAAAAACUAUACAUACGAAAUCUCAGAGAAAUGGAUGAAGUUAAGAAGAUACUCAAGUCUCAGUGAGUAGUAAACACUAUAACGUGAUGGAAAGCACAGCAAUAGCAGCAGGGUGGCAACAUCUUCGACUGCAGCAAGCACCAAUGCAGCAGCCAUGGACACAGAAAUGAAGUAAAAGAGCUGCUUACCUUUGAAAGACCUCAAGCACACAAGAGAUCUCCAGAGAGAUCCCCUUACCUCCAAUGCCAACCCUUAAAUGAGGUCUGGGAAGGGACGGAUCCUGACUCCACCCCUUCUGGUCACUGAGGUGCACUGCAUGCAGCUGAGCUCCCCUAGGUUGACCCUGCCUUCCCACCAGGUGCUCAAUCAUUGCUUCAAGCUGUGACAGCAUUUCCACUACAGCAUCCCAAAACAACUUCCUGAAGCAGUAGGUUCCAAAGCA